Molecule: ribosomal RNA, 482 nt
Filed under: uncultured bacterium
Lineage: Bacteria
Description: bacterial SSU rRNA
Rfam family: Bacterial small subunit ribosomal RNA
Source: RNAcentral
AUUGAACGCUGGCGGCAUGCCUAACACAUGCAAGUCGAACGGUAACAGGCCUUCGGGCGCUGACGAGUGGCGGACGGGUGAGUAACGCGUGGGAAUCUGCCUAGUAGUGGGGGACAACCUGGGGAAACUCAGGCUAAUACCGCAUACGCCCUACGGGGGAAAGCAGGGGAUCUUCGGACCUUGCGCUAUUAGAUGAGCCUGCGUCGGAUUAGCUUGUUGGUGGGGUAAGGGCCUACCAAGGCGACGAUCCGUAGCUGGUUUGAGAGGACGAUCAGCCACACUGGGACUGAGACACGGCCCAGACUCCUACGGGAGGCAGCAGUGGGGAAUAUUGGACAAUGGGGGCAACCCUGAUCCAGCAAUGCCGCGUGUGUGAAGAAGGCCUGCGGGUUGUAAAGCACUUUCGGAUGGGAAGAAAAGCUCAAGGCUAAUAUCCUUGAGUCUUGACGUUACUAUCAGAAGAAGCACCGGCUAACUCUGUG